GCCUAACACAUGCAAGUCGAGCGGAAACGACACUAACAAUCCUUCGGGUGCGUUAAUGGGCGUCGAGCGGCGGACGGGUGAGUAAUGCCUAGGAAAUUGCCUUGAUGUGGGGGAUAACCAUUGGAAACGAUGGCUAAUACCGCAUAAUGCCUACGGGCCAAAGAGGGGGACCUUCGGGUCUCUCGCGUCAAGAUAUGCCUAGGUGGGAUUAGCUAGUUGGUGAGGUAAUGGCUCACCAAGGCGACGAUCCCUAGCUGGUCUGAGAGGAUGAUCAGCCACACUGGAACUGAGACACGGUCCAGACUCCUACGGGAGGCAGCAGUGGGGAAUAUUGCACAAUGGGCGAAAGCCUGAUGCAGCCAUGCCGCGUGUAUGAAGAAGGCCUUCGGGUUGUAAAGUACUUUCAGUUGUGAGGAAGGGGGUAGCGUUAAUAGCGCUAUNCCUUGACGUUAGCAACAGAAGAAGCACC
Molecule: ribosomal RNA, 469 nt
Filed under: uncultured Gammaproteobacteria bacterium
Lineage: Bacteria; Pseudomonadati; Pseudomonadota; Gammaproteobacteria
Description: bacterial SSU rRNA
Rfam family: Bacterial small subunit ribosomal RNA
Source: RNAcentral